This 229-nucleotide non-coding RNA is filed under the name Partenskyella glossopodia. The record is from RNAcentral. Lineage: Eukaryota; Cercozoa; Chlorarachniophyceae.
AAAAAAAUGCAUACAUAUGCAUAUGCAUAGUUUUUCUAUUCAUUUCUUUUUGAAACCGUGUUAAAGCUUAUACCCAAAGAUACUAUGCCACAUAUUCAUAAAUAUCUGAACAAUAAUGGCAUCCGCGCCAAAAAAUAUCACGGCUUUUAAUGAGCGGUGUUAAUGAUCGAAACAUUUUUUGGUUUUUCUAUGUCCAGAAUCAAAAUUUUAAAAAGGAAAAAAAAAAAAG